Non-coding RNA from Coturnix japonica (Japanese quail), 6672 nucleotides. The record is from RefSeq and is a predicted model, not a curated record. Lineage: Eukaryota; Metazoa; Chordata; Aves; Galliformes; Phasianidae.
GAAUCAGCCAUUCUCCCUCAUCUUCUGAGCCAAGAUCAAGAUUUGCACAAGUCCUUGUUUAGAUCAAUCAUCGCGUUCAUUGGCCAAAGCCAGAGCUCUACUUUACAGUGAGCAGAGUUCCUGUACCAGCAGAUUGGUGCCCUGUCAAGCUGGGAUUGCUUCUGGCAUCAGUUCCCCAGUUUCCUAUGGACAGUCAGGGUUUGUCAUUGCGUAAGGGAAGGAUCAGCCUCGUGGCACUGCUGGGAGCACUGAGGCCAGUGGGACCUCACCAUGCCCCGUGCUGAGAAGCAUGGCUGCCAGGCAGCUGAGCCCCAGGGGCUGGGAUUUGCCCUCCCUCGACACUAAGCCAGGGGGGCUGUGAUGACGGAGCUGUGUGAGGGUCGGUGCCAGCCACAAGCAGGGCAGCUCGGGACUGACAGCAGGGCACUUCCAGUCAUGGUGGGAGAAGAUAUCAGGAAGUGUCCUUGGCUGUAGCGUGGGUGCACCUGGCACUGGGUUUCUGUGCCAGACUCAAGCAAAUUGCUACGUCUGCACUGGGGACACGCAGAGCAGUUUUUCUCAGUUUCUUGCAACUAAGGAAGAAAAUGUCCAAAAAAACCCAAGUCAGAAGCAAUGCAAAAUGAGGACCUGUCUGCAAGAUGGAACGGCUCGUAUUUGUGAAAGAUCUGUCAUAGUCAGCAAAGUGCACAUGCACUUCAGUGUGCUGAAUGUGCUGUCCUCACGCUCAGCUCCACAGCCCCUGCAGGGCACAUUGCUGCAGGAGGAGCCCUGGGCUGCACCUCACUGCUGCAGGCAGUGCUUUCCAUCACCCACUCACCAUCACCCCUCUCCCCACGGCAGCGUAUCAAUGAACCCUGAGCGGUUCCAGUGAACAUAAGCAUCAUUCUGAAUACGGUCUUCAUUUCAUAUAGCAGCUGCUCAGUCACCUGAGCAAAUACAGAGCAAUGGCUGGGCAUGGCUUACUUCUGAAUUCCAAGUUUGGUGGCUGGGCAGCCCCAGGCAGACACGAGCACUGUGCUGCCCACCUUGCUGCACACACUCUGCAGCUCUCGGUGACUCUUCUUUGGGACUCUGGGUUUUUCCUUUGUGCCAUUUCAUACUGUAUAGUCCACAUUUUGUUCCUAACUUAUGUGUGUCCCUGUGCUUUCCCCUUUUAAAGUGGCAUCCCAAGAGGCCACGGUGUGUUUGUAUUCUGAGAACUGUUGGUGAGGUCAUAACAGAAGGUGGUGGGAGGGGGGAAAACUAUUCCCAAUCAUGUUGGGAUCAAUAAAAUAGAGUAUGAUUUCACUAAAAAGCAAACCUUAUUAGCAUUUUCUACUGUGAUUUAUAAAGCCAAUGCUGAUGGAUUGCUGCUGAUCUCAAAGCCCCUGUGAACAAACCGGUGCCUACUUAGCAGGAGCUCAGCAGCAGCUGUGAGCUGCCCCAUGCCUGUCCCUGCAGCCCCACUCACUCCCUGGUUUAUGGUGACACACUUAGAAAGAUUAAACACGACCGUCUCCAGAAGCACCACGGCUGUGCUGAGAUGAUGAGGAGCGAGGUGUGUGCGUCACAAAGCAGGUGUUUAUUUUAAUUUAGAUCAAAUUUUCAAUUACCCAAAUAAAUUGUAAACGUGGGCUUCUAAAGUGGGGCUGUGUUGCAGCGUUCCUUCUUUUCUGAUGCUACAUAACUGGUCUCAAACAGCUCUGUUAUAUAGCUGGGUCUUGUGGACUGUACUGAAUUAAGUUCUGCUGCUGUUGGAGAGGAAAGAGAAGCCAUUCAUCUCAAACUAGGAGGCAAUGCUUUAAUUUCAGCCUUGAUGAACCCCAUCACAUGGCAGAUUCAAGGCAAGUGUGCUGGGGCUUGUUGGGGAGGUGCAAAUUGCAGUCACUGUGCCGAGGAUUUGCAGCAGCAACAGGAGAGGAAACUGCUCUGCAAAUUUGGCGAGCAGCUGAUACAGCAACAGGAAGGCAACCCGAACUGCUCCUGGGAUGGAACAGACCACUGCCUGCUUGCAAAACCAUUUCCUUGCACAAAGAUCCAUUUGAUCUGGAAAUAAUAUGGAGAAAAGAAAACAGACAUGAGCAAAUGACCAGAUAACUUGGACCCAGCCAUGCUGUGCCCCUGCCUUGGUAUCACCAUGCGAUGCUGCCUUGUCACCCUGUAAAGCAUCCCCAUCUUUGGGGGGUCAUUAAGCAGCACACAGGCAGCAUGUGCUGUUAAUGCCAACCUGUUUGCUGUGCUCAGCCCAUGGGUUGUCCCAAAGCACCGAGCCUUGCUCUGCUGCAGCUGGAGCUGAUAGCCCAGCACACCCUGCUGACAAACCUGCUGGCAAUCGCUCCUCGUCUCAGCAUUUUCCAGGUGUUUUCAUAUCUUUGAUUACCUGAAUGAUACUCUUAUGGGGGGUAAGGACAAAUAUCAUGGUUCAUAAUUCCCCAGCACCUGCCUGUGGUUCAGGAAUGCUGCAGUUUUGCAUUGGCUUCAUCCAGCCCUUAAUGGUACCCAUGUCUGAUGGCUGGUGUCCAGCCCUGAGUGGAGUGCAAUGUGGGGCUGGGAGCUGCAGCAGGUGGCUGUGUGUGGAUCUGCACUGCUCCCUUCAUGCUCCUUUCUUUCCUGCUGCAAUAGUUUGAUAAGACAUUUUGCACUGUGUUUUUAGUGUUUUUGGGUUGGGUUUUGUUUCUUUUUUUCAAUUUUGUGAGCUUCUUGCAUGAAUUUUAAGUGCUGUGUUUGUUUUUGCUUGGCCAGGUUAGGGUUUUGCAGAACAGCUUAACUCAUUAGCAUUUCUUAGAAGUCUGCCUUACUGUUGCUAUGACACUUGCAUAAUAUUAUGCACAGUGCUCUGAUUUUACUUUGAAAUCAGACAUACUGUACAAGCCACUCUAACCUAAUUACAUCAGUAACCUGAGACCUACCGGGAAACUCAAGAUGGGACUCAAGUGUGUGCUGGGGCUCCCAGUGCCCAGAAACAGGGCUGUGACUUUGUGUUCCUUGCUGCCAGCCAAAGGAAAGCAUUUCCUGGGCAAUGUUCUUUAUGUAUAGUCAACAAAGAGAAUUACCUUCCAUCAAGGUGUGCUAUGAAGUAAAAAGGCAGUGCUCCCUUCCAAGCUGUGCCGUCCUGUGACAGCUCUUCAACCAGAAUCACACCCCCAGGUUGGAUGAACUCAUAUGCUCACACCUGACCAUGGCACAGAAGGUCCUUACCUUGAGGUGGCAAUGGCUGAUGCUGUCCCUGUUGCAUCACACUGCUCUUUAAUGAUGAGGGCCUGCAGCCCUGUAACAGCACAGAGCAGUUUGCAGCCCCGCUUCCCACUGACCAUCCUGAGAGGCACAUGUGCACAGUGCCUUGGAAGGUUUAACUCCACAAUACUGUUUUGAAGUAUCUAAAUUACACUUUAAAAGUUAACAGCACUCUGGAGUGCCAAUUUAAUUGACUUCCUGUGAAACACGUUUCUCUGAAUUCUCUGGUUACCUUUCAAAAAUGGGAUUCUGGCUUCCAAGUCACACUGGGGACUCGUCAAACUCUGGCUGCUGGUGAAUAUUUGAUUCUGCUCACAGAUCCGUGGAGCUCACUGAGAGUUUUCCUGGAUGCACAGCUCUGUGCACACCCUCUGGGUGCCGGUGUGCAGGUGGGGCUGGUGCAUCUAUGGCCAUAUACUGUAGGCCUGUGGGCACAGCAGAGAAUGUGGCCGGGCACGAGCUGUGACCAUCGCAUGGCUUCAGGUCUCCUCAUUUGUCACCAAUCUCCUGGUUCAUUUGGGAUGAAGGCUGAGAGUGUUGGUCUGCUUUUAUUUCGCUCCACCAGCAGAGCUGGGAGCACAUGGUAUCCUCCCUCUGCACCACUUCUCUGUUCUGGAAAGCUGUGCUGAAAGCACCGGGGGAAUUUUUUGAGUGGUGGAAUGGGGCUGCCCCAUGGUGUGCUGCCAUGGAUGGGGGCUGGCAGGGCACGUGGGCAGCAACAUGGCUGUGGGGCUUUGUGUGUUCUGACCUGUGCAUCCUGCCCAUGUUACAUUUUUACCUAAUCCUAAAGAUCAGACCACACUGUCCAGACGGUCUGCUCCAGUAGCUGCACCACUUAUAUCAGAGCUACUGUUGUAAUAAGAAACAUGUGGGAAGAUCCAUAGCAGGAUGGAGAAGGCACCUUCCCUGUAGCAGCUGAAGGCAGAGGAGUAAUGAUGUGAUUUGCUUCUGUACCUGUGGGCCAGCUCUGGAGGAUGGACAGCCACCUGCCCCAGCUCAAGGUGAGGCAGCAGCUGAUACAGAAUCACAGAUUAUCACUGAAGGUGGUAACAGAGCUUCCUUUGGGUCCAACCCCCAGAAGAAGAGCUACCUGCCAAAUAUUUCACAUGAAACCUGUAAAUGCGGGUAGUUCUUUUGACUUAAGGUGAAGAUCUUUAAAGAAAUUCGUGCUAAUCUUUAAAUAGAAUUUCUGAUCGUGUGCAGCAUAAUCAGAGUCAGGGCUCUGCAGCUUGUAUGGCUUUGUUGGGUUUUUGGUCCACAUUAGAGCUAAACUCUGAUUUAUUUAAGCUGCAAAUUGUCCUUAUCUCUGAGCUCACAUGUGUGAGUGAUAUGACGUACUUUCCCACAGUAACACCUAAUGAAAAACAGCUUUCACCAAUUCAGAUCAAUAAAACUGGUCAUGUAUUUAAAUCCAUCUCAAUUAGAGUCGGGAGGAGAAUAGAGUUGAUACAAAGAAAAUGGUUUUCUUCUCAUCGGUGGGGAAAGGAGUGUUUUCUGAAGAAACGAACGAUGUCGGGGUUGAUUUGGAUGUUGGAGCUGUAGAGCUGAUCCCAGCAGUUGUAAUGAAGCUCUGACAGCCAGCAGCAAAGCUGCGCUCGGGGCAGAGGACAGGGUGCUGUUAUGGACUGAACUGCUUCAGUGCUUCAGCAGCCCUGACAGCAGCUGCACGCUGUGUGAUAAGAUCGCCGCCGUCAUUUCUAGGCUGAAAGACCAGGAGUUCCGCUCAGAACGCGCUGUCUCCAGAGUAUUUUGAACAAAAGUAGGAUUAAUAUCAAGCUCAGCAUUCAGGUGCUCACUGCUUCUGCACCUGGUACCGCUAAUGGCAAAAGAGCAUCUCAGGAAUUAUCUUUCAGUGUGCAGCAAUUGAAUGUGCAAAUGGAAAAUCCCACUGCUCCAGGCCUCAGGGGAAAGAGGUCACAUCUGCAGCCCAGUAUUGACUUCAGAUACAUUGUCCGCUGUUAAGAAGUGUGCAGACAUUCUGUAACAAUGAGCAACUCUAACACAGCCACCAAAAGUUCAUCAGGAUCUGCACAGCCCUAUGGGUGUCCACCAUGGCUUUCUGGUUUCAGCUUUGGUCUCACUCAGAGCUGUGUGUGCUUUGCUUUAGGGUUAGGGCAUCCACUGCACUCAGUCCUUUGGCUCUUGUCUGCUGAAACAUCACAAAGGAUGAAGGAAUGGUGUUAUAUGGACAAUCUUCUAAGAAAAUCCACAAAAGGUCCCUUCAGAGCAGCAGCUGGGCUUGGUGCCCACAUGUGGCAUGGUGCGCUGGGGGAGGCUCUGGGCUGCUGCAAAAGGGGAGGUUCUGUCCCUUAGCUGAGAUCCCUGCCCCACGGAGCUGCCAUUUCAGGCAUCCACACAGAGGCAACGUGUGCUGAGGGAGGUAAAAGUGGGAUGUGACUCUGAGCACGGCGGCUCUGUUCAGAAUCACGGAUCGCUAGGAUAGAUGCUCCCAGCAUUGCUCCAUCCCAGCACGAACUGCUGCCUGUCACAGUGCCCUGGGCUUCACUCCUGCCCUUGCUUUGAUCCAGCGUGGGUUUGCAACAACAAGAGCUUUGGUGACUUUGUUGCUUUGGGUCAGAGGAACAUCUGUGAGCCUGACCGGGUCAUGUCUGUGCGUGUGCUCGUUGCCUCUGCACAGACUGCCCUGCUUUGGGAAACUUGGAGCUGCUGAGGGGGGAAAACCUUUCUGUAAACUUCACUUCUUUUUUAAUACAGAGCAAGAGCUCCUGGGCCCUUUAUGGCCCUCCCUCGUUCUUCAUGAGCUACAUAUGUAUAUCAGCUCUAGCACGCUGUCAGUGAACAGUGGUUUUCAAUCAAAAAGACUGUCAGUAAAGCUGAUUCACUAACAAGAAAGCUGUCAAGCUGUGACAGCUGCUGUCUUUGCAACCCCAAACAAUCUGUUCGGUGCUAACUCUGACUUAUGCUUCCAUUUAUUAUACAGUAGUAAUGAGUACUGUCCUUAGAAAUAUCAUUUUGGAGAGUACACCUUGCUGCUUUGUUAUGGAUGUGGAACACAUCAAAUCGGAUCGGAGCUGCACAAGUUUUUGACAAACAAGUGCUCCUUGUCAUCGGAAUAAUUUUUUUUUCUCGAUUCUAAAUCUUGUUUCAGCUUUUACAUCAUUUCUGUAGUUAAACCUCAGCCUGAAAGUUGCAUUACUAUUAGAAACUGAGACAAAUUUCUGUUUUCCCAUCUUGUUGGAAGAUGGCACCUAACCCUGAGCACAACGCUCCUACCUACAGAACUGGGUUAGGGAGGGUCGUUGUGAUGCUCACAGUUUGGGGGGAUCACACCUCUCAGCCCACAGGGAGAACUGAUGCCAAUGCUGAUGUCCAAGCAUAGUACUGCCAUCUAAAUGCUUGUUAAUGCUUUCUUUUGUUUUGCUUUUAAUUAAACAGAAGCACAUCGACAGCCUCCUUUAGCAAACUCUUCCAGCAAUAAAUUCUAGCUUUGCAAACCUA